This 347-nucleotide ribosomal RNA is filed under the name uncultured Propionibacterium sp. Its description in RNAcentral is "bacterial SSU rRNA". It matches the Rfam family "Bacterial small subunit ribosomal RNA", at positions 505 to 852 of the family's 1533-position model. The record is from RNAcentral. Lineage: Bacteria; Bacillati; Actinomycetota; Actinomycetes; Propionibacteriales; Propionibacteriaceae.
GUGCCAGCAGCUGCGGUGAUACGUAGGGUGCGAGCGUUGUCCGGAAUUAUUGGGCGUAAAGAGCUCGUAGGCGGUUGAUCGCGUCGAAAGUGAAAACUCAGGGCUUAACCCUGAGCCUGCUUUCGAUACGGGUCGACUAGAGGAAGGUAGGGGAGAAUGGAAUUCCUGGUGGAGCGGUGGAAUGCGCAGAUAUCAGGAGGAACACCAGUGGCGAAGGCGGUUCUCUGGACCUUUCCUGACGCUGAGGAGCGAAAGCGUGGGAGCAAACAGGCUUAGAUACCCUGGUAGUCCACGCCGUAAACGGUGGGUACUAGGUGUGGGACAGUUCCGACGUUCUCCGUCGCCGU